UCAGUUCCUGCUGGAAAGAUGGCAUCAAGAACAGAGAUGGGACAAAGUAAUUAUCAGUUCUCACCACUAGCCAAGGAACUUUGUGAAGGAAAAGCUGGUCUUCAUCACAGAAGAAAAGCUUAUCAUCAUCAUCAUAGUCAUGGGCCAGGUGAAGAUACACAAAAGAUGGCACCUUGGAAUUUUUUAUUGAUUUUUUCUUCAGCAUUUUCCCAUGACAAUGAUCAGAAUUCUGAUUGAAACUAGGAAACUGAUCGUUAAGAGGGAAAUCAGGAGGGAGAAACCAAGAAACAUCUGGGAAGGGCUCACAGAAGAGAUCAACCAUAUCAACUCCAGGAUCAACCAACAGAACACGGUUUGUGAGGACAGCAUAGAGAAAUGCAGAGGCUAAGGUCAAAAUCCUAUUCCCUAAACCACUAUAUGAAAUCCAAACUACAUAUUUACAUGGUGGGGACUCAGUUAAAUGACCAGACCUUAGAUCUUUCACUGUUUUGUUAUAGGAUUCAGUGUAAGGUCCACAUUGUUUGUGGAGAGCUUCAUAUCUUCUUAAUCUAGAAAUGAGGUAUGAAGAAGGAUUUGCUGAUAGCCCUUUGUGAUUUUGAUACCUGCUGAGACAAGAUCUUUCAUCAAAUCCAGAUGCAGCUAGAAGGCCACCAAGUAAUUUAUCUUGCGGCAACUGAAAGGAAUCAAAGGCAUCACUGUUCAAACCUACAAGCCACACAGAAGAUAAAAUUCCACCAUUAUUAUAAGACCAUGAGUGGCCAGGAAGCAAAGCAAACGUCAAGAACGAAAAAUUUGGAGACAGGAAAUUCAGUUGAUCCAUUCAUUAACAAAAAGAAAGAAAGGUAAAACAUGAAACACAAGUUGAUCAAAUGCUCCCUAGCAAGAGAAUCAAAUGCAGAAAUUGGAAAAUUCAUAUGCCGAAAAUAGCCAUUCUUCUGUACUCUCAGUUUUAGCUAUUGUUGCGUUCUGUUAAAGUCAUAGAAGUAACUAACUUAAGCUCUCACUGCUACUCCCACCAAUUGCAGUUAGAAAAUCAAGGUUUUAGAGUUCUGGUCAAUCCUAUGAGGUCACAUCAACUGCAAAUAUUAGUAAUUUUUCUAACAGCAUUAAGAAUCGCAACUUAACCACAACCUCAGCUGUUGAUAAAAUAAGCGAGCAGACAAUGGAAACUUACGAUUAUGGAAAAUGAUGGCAACCAUCAUUUCAAAAUGGAAAACAUUAGAUGGUUAUGAUAGUUAGAGAGACUGUUUUGUAAAAAGUGAUCAUGAGGUUAUGUUUGGAUACCGGUUAGCAUUAAGGUAAACAAAUUUUAACAUUUUGAACUAAAGAGUAAACGUGUAUUGAGAUGAAAGUCCGUUGACAUUGUUGUCCUGUUAUCCAAACAUACACCAAGUAAUGUACUGUUUUUCAAAGCAAUUCAAUCUGAAAGAAAGAUAUUCUGAUAACAGUAAGGUGCUAGUAUAUUAUGAACCCAAUAACUGUGAAACAAUGAUGGCACUUAAAAAGUUCUAUUUUAUGGUUGCUAUAGGGAAAGAAAAAAAAAAUCAACAACUAAUUCUAUCAUACAACAAAAUUGGCAGUACUUCUAACAGAGUUUCGACAGUCAUGGCAUUCAUGACUAUAAUAAUGACUAGUUAACCAUGAUUAUCUACGAGCUUUAGACCCCAGCUCAUAUCCUCACAAUGCCUUACAUGCGGAACGAGCGCACCGGUGUCAGUUCCUCUUUUAGCCUUGCAAUCAUAGAAGGGAGGAGCAUGGAAGCAUGGUUCCAUCGACAUGGCGCGUUGACAAGGAGGGUCAGGGGCUGUUCCAUUCUCAGGCUUGUAGAGUAUCCAUGGUUUUAAACCUCCAAGCCCCUGCGCGACGUAACCGAAAGUAGACCAUGAGCUAGUGACUAACAUGUCAGUUAAGCUCAAGAGAUACAUUUCUGCCCAAGCUUUUUGGUUGUGCAUCUGCUUCUCUGUUUGCUGAUAUUCCUCAUGGCUUGGCUGGUAAAUGCCCACAACUUCUCCUGUCACAGUGGGAUAUUCCCAGUACAUGUCUCUCACCAUUUCAGAAUAACCCGAGCUUAAGGAUGUCAUCAGCACCGCUUUUGACUUCGGCUUCCCUGAUGAACUGAUAAUAUUCUGACCCCUGCUAACAUCAGGCAAAAUAUUCUCCUUCAAAGCACAAGCUAUGAUCUGAUCCAGUAUAUGUUGAAAUGGGCCACUUCCAGUGUCAAACACUCUGAUCUGGAUGCCUACUCUUUCAUCAGCACUAGCUAAAUAAGGUUGGUAGUAUCUGAGAACAAGUCCCCAUACUGUGUUGGUGGGGUGGAAUAGAUAUCUGCCUAAGAAAUGGAAAACUGUUUCCUUGUUUGGAAAUAAGUCACUCAGUUCCUGCUGGAAAGAUGGCAUCAAGAACAGAGAUGGGACAAAGUAAUUAUCAGUUCUCACCACUAGCCAAGGAACUUUGUGAAGGAAAAGCUGGUCUUCAUCACAGAAGAAAAGCUUAUCAUCAUCAUCAUAGUCAUGGGCCAGGUGAAGAUACACAAAAGAUGGCACCUUGGAAUUUUUUAUUGAUUUUUUCUUCAGCAUUUUCCCAUGACAAUGAUCAGAAUUCUGAUUGAAACUAGGAAACUGAUCGUUAAGAGGGAAAUCAGGAGGGAGAAACCAAGAAACAUCUGGGA
Molecule: long non-coding RNA, 2668 nt
Filed under: Lotus japonicus
Lineage: Eukaryota; Viridiplantae; Streptophyta; Magnoliopsida; Fabales; Fabaceae
Description: long non-coding RNA (LJAP_LNC001001)
Source: RNAcentral